GGGCGUACUAGCAGCUGUUGGCUGGGACCGUUCGAAGCUGAAUAUAAGGAGAAGGGGGGGGGAAUUGAGAAUUGGCCCUGGCCUGGUGCUGUACUGGACUCCCAGGACACUGUGGAUGUUAAAUUUCAUGCCACCGCCGCAAUGUUUAGUUCGCCUUGGGGUGUUUGCGCCCCCGCUGUUUCAAGUAUUGGUUCUUUGGUGGUGGCCAUCACCUUGAUUGGUAAUUUUGGGCCUCUUAAGACCCGUUACAUCCAAGGCCCUUGAAUGGGUUCUUGGAUGAAUCUAAAGUGGUGGAUUGAAUGAAUUUGCUGAUCACAGGAAGGGUGUGGUCUUUCACCCGGGCCCAGGGGACCCUUAGAAUCCGCGUCUGCAGCGAAAGUGGGAUGAAUCAUACCGGCUCUCCCCUUUAAAGCCCCUAUAUUUAGUGGUUCCCGUAAACGACACUUUUUACCGGAGAGGAACCUUGGUUAAGCGAUCCGGGGGGCAACACUUGCACCUGGAACAAAAUCCUUGAAG
RNAcentral lists this unclassified non-coding RNA (516 nucleotides) under Lupinus pilosus. Its description in RNAcentral is "partial external transcribed spacer". Lineage: Eukaryota; Viridiplantae; Streptophyta; Magnoliopsida; Fabales; Fabaceae. The record is from RNAcentral.